Molecule: small RNA, 233 nt
Filed under: Bos taurus (domestic cattle)
Lineage: Eukaryota; Metazoa; Chordata; Mammalia; Artiodactyla; Bovidae
Source: RNAcentral
CACACUUUCCCUACCCUACGUCAGUGAACAGUGCAGACAGUGGGAAGAGCAAGACAACUGGUUCUGUUAGCAGAAUCAGCAAGACACCUGGGAACAGAAGACCUUAAACACAGUGAGUUAAUUUUUUAAAAAAAAUAUGAGAAGGCAGAAAAAUACUGCACAAAUGAAGGAAUAACCUAGAAACACACAGUCCAAAUAAAUGAAGAAGAAACAGGGGUCUCACGAAUUCCGCU